GACGAACGCUGGCGGCGUGCUUAACACAUGCAAGUCGAACGGAAAGGCCCUGCUUUUGUGGGGUGCUCGAGUGGCGAACGGGUGAGUAACACGUGAGUAACCUGCCCUUGACUUUGGGAUAACUUCAGGAAACUGGGGCUAAUACCGGAUAGGAGCUCCUGCUGCAUGGUGGGGGUUGGAAAGUUUCGGCGGUCGGGGAUGGACUCGCGGCUUAUCAGCUUGUUGGUGGGGUAGUGGCUUACCAAGGCUUUGACGGGUAGCCGGCCUGAGAGGGUGACCGGCCAAACUGGGACUGAGAUACGGCCCAGACUCCUACGGGAGGCAGCAGUGGGGAAUAUUGCACAAUGGGCGGAAGCAUGAUGCAGCAACGCCGCGUGCGGGAUAGCGGCCUUCGGAUUGUAAACCGCUUUCGCCUGUGACGAAGCGUGCGUGACGGUAAUGGGUAAAGAAGCACCGGCUAACUACGUG
This 468-nucleotide ribosomal RNA is filed under the name uncultured bacterium. RNAcentral's name for it is "partial 16S ribosomal RNA". It matches the Rfam family "Bacterial small subunit ribosomal RNA", at positions 28 to 507 of the family's 1533-position model. The record is from RNAcentral.